AUCCUACGGGAGGCAGUAGUGGGGAAUCUUGCGCAAUGGGCGAAAAGCCUGACGCAGCGACGCCGCGUGAGGGAUGACGGCCUUCGGGUUGUAAACCUCUUUCAGCUCCGACGAAGCGAGAGUGACGGUAGGAGCAGAAGAAGCACCGGCCAACUACGUGCCAGCAGCCGCGGUAAUACGUAGGGUGCAAGCGUUGUCCGGAGAUUAUUGGGCGUAAAGAGCUCGUAGGCGGUCUGUCGCGUCGGCUGUGAAAACUCGGGGCUCAACCCCGAGCUUGCAGUCGAUACGGGCAGGCUAGAGUUCGGCAGGGGAGACUGGAAUUCCUGGUGUAGCGGUGAAAUGCGCAGAUAUCAGGAGGAACACCGGUGGCGAAGGCGGGUCUCUGGGCCGAUACUGACGCUGAGGAGCGAAAGCGUGGGGAGCGAACAGGAUUAGAGACCCUGGUAGUCCACGCCGUAAACGUUGGGCGCUAGGUGUGGGAGCCCUUCCACGGGUUCCGUGCCGCAGCUAACGCAUUAAGCGCCCCGCCUGGGAG
Molecule: ribosomal RNA, 535 nt
Filed under: uncultured bacterium
Lineage: Bacteria
Description: bacterial SSU rRNA
Rfam family: Bacterial small subunit ribosomal RNA
Source: RNAcentral